Molecule: non-coding RNA, 2270 nt
Organism: Oryzias latipes (Japanese medaka)
Lineage: Eukaryota; Metazoa; Chordata; Actinopteri; Beloniformes; Adrianichthyidae
Source: RefSeq, a predicted model, not a curated record
GGGGUUCCUUAAGGCACCGUUGUUGAACCUCUUUCAUUUAGUAAUCAUCCAAAAUAUCAUGAGAUUCAAACAUUAAAUUUCACAAAGUUUUAAGGAUUUGACCAUAAAGCAAAUUUUAGAAAGCACCAAUGUUUUUAUUUGUGUUUAUGUGGUUUUAAAACACAAGGAUUUUUUAAUGCAUAUUAAGUUGAUUUCAAAAUGUUAAAAGCUCUAUUCGCUAAUUCAGAUGAGUGAAUGACCAAGUAAGUGCAAAUUAUUUUGUACUUUGCUGCUGUUUAUGUUUAAGGUGCAUUCAUGGUGACAUUCAGUGUAUAGGUGUGCAAAUAUUAAAAUCAUAAACGGAAGACUUCCUAUAGGAAGAGAGCAGCAAUCAAUAUAAAGUUUUUCUUUUUUUCCAAAAGUAUAGAUUUCCAUACCUGACAACUAAAAAAGUGGCUGUGACUCUACAUCACAUGAAAUACAAGUAAGUAAACAGGGAACUUAGUUUAUGUUUAAGUCGUCACUAGCACGUUUGUCUGUUAGGUUUGGUCUCAAUCUUCACUUCCAUAUGUCUAUUUAUUUCAGUUCAUUCCUCAAUUUCACCAAAGGGGAAGAAUAUUUGGUUACAUGUAUUGAAAUAAUGCUUUGUCUCAAACUAAGGAUGCUUUGUUUCAGACGUAGAAACAAAAUAGAGAGUGAGUACCGGUAAGCUACUUAAAUAAGUGGCAAAACAUUUAAAGAGUUGACUAUAAGAGACGACAACUGGCCAGAGCAUCCUUCAACUUCAAGACAAGUUCACUUGAAUGAAGAAGAAUUGUCAUUAACAUAACUGAAAAUAUUAAUUCAAAGUUUUGCUAUAUGAAACUCAAACAUCUGUCAGCAGAUUUCUUGUCUUUACCUCACAGAACAGCACUUUAAAGUUGGAACGUGGAUUGUUAUUGUGCUUUGGAUGGGAUCCUUUAGGGCUCUCAUAGACUAGUAUUACCUUUUUGUCAUAUUUUUUCUGGACUUUUGAUGUUAUUGAGCAGAUCUUUGUUAUUAGCUAUGAUUAUGUGACCUAGUAUUCACUAUAUUUACUGUAGGAUAUACUAAAAACAAUUUAGUUCUUUUAAAAAUAGCCAUUUUAAAGACUACUGUUUAGUGGUAUCCUCUAAGAAUCUGCUGCCCUCGUUAAUAAUUCUCCUCCUUUAGUUGCUAUUUAUAGAUAAGGCUCAUUGUUUUAGCUUCUCCAUGAAGGCUGGAUGCUGCAGCUGACCGGUGGAGGAAAGAACCUCCUUUCCUCCACCGGUCAGCUCCUUGGGUACCAUGCCAGCUCCCUCCUCAUGUGUGCAGGAACGCUCCUCCCGCUCCGCGCAGCCCAUCAGUCAUCCAGCUGCUGUGUGACCUGCUCUGACGGCUCCUGUGUCAACCGAACCAGCUGAGCGGCGUGAGCCUGUCGAGCGAGGUUCUGACUAUGUGGCUUCAGAGACAAGCGGCCGCUGGAUGAGUCAGCGGCGGCUCGCGCUCAGCCUCCUCGCAGAUCUCAUUGAUAGAAUGAAGUCAGGUCUCUGCGCUGCUGUGUACCAGACAGACGGGGAGCUUCGGUCGUCAAAUAUCCGGUUCGUGCAUCGCGGGGGACCGCCACGGAGACGCGGGGGACGGUGUCGGAGCUAAUUCCUGCUCAUUUCGCUGAUGAGGGCUGGAUCUCUGUCAUUGGUUCCGCUUCGCAGCUCAGAAGAUGCUGGACCAGCUUCUCUCCCGGUGCUGACAGCUCGACGCCGCCGUUGGUGCAUUGUGGGAAAUGUAGUCAAAUGUAGUGGGUAGAUUUUGACACCAAACCAGUCAGUUUUUCUAAUCACACUUACAAAAAACGUUCUUAAAUACACUUUAAAAGUCUCGAUGUGUGUUAGGAUAGUAAAAAAAAAUCAACUUAAAACUAGUUUGAAUAAACAAAAUGAGUUUUUGGAAUUUAUGAUAAUGUGGCAAAACGUCUUUAUACUAAAUAUUAAUACCAUUAAACCAGAAAUAAGCCUAAGUAACAACAUGAAAUUGUGUCUUCUUUGCUUUCAAUUGUUCCAAUAAAGUCACAAUUGAUCAUGAAAAGUUUGACAUACUGUAAAUAUGUACAGGUAUCCCUUUUUUCUUUUUUUCUUAAGUAUCAUUGUUAUUCUGAUUGCUUGAAACAAACCAAAGCAAAAAUGGCUGUCAGAUUACAUUUUAUGACCUAAAUGUUUACUUAUUGUCUUCGGAUAUUUUGUUUUUACUUUCUGUAAUGUACACCUGAAUUUCACAAUAAAAUUUGCUUCCAGACA